This 21-nucleotide non-coding RNA is filed under the name Caenorhabditis elegans. The record is from RNAcentral. Lineage: Eukaryota; Metazoa; Nematoda; Chromadorea; Rhabditida; Rhabditidae.
UAGUGGACCGACUUACUUUAA